RNAcentral lists this long non-coding RNA (1076 nucleotides) under Salmo salar (Atlantic salmon). RNAcentral's name for it is "lncRNA (ENSSSAG00000098233.1, ENSSSAG00020061718.1)". Lineage: Eukaryota; Metazoa; Chordata; Actinopteri; Salmoniformes; Salmonidae. The record is from RNAcentral.
AGCCACCCUUUGCCUUGAUGACAGCUUUGCACACUAUUGGCAUUCUCUCAACCAGCUUCACCUGGAAUGCUUUUCCAACAGUCUUGAAUGAGUUCUGACAUUCGCUGAGCACUUGUUGCCUGCUUUUCCUUCCCUCUGCGAUCCAACUCAUCCCAAACCAUCUCAAUUGGGUUGAGGUCGGCUGAUUGUGGAGGCCAGGUCAUCUGAUGCAGCACUCCAUCACUCUCCUUGGUCAAAUAGGCCUUACACAGCCUGGAGGUGUGUUUUGCAUCAUUGUCCUGUUGAAAAACAAAUGAUAGUCCCACUAAGCGUAAACCAGAUGGGAUGGUGUAUCGCUGCAGAAUGCAGUGGUAGCCAUGCCGAUUAAGUGUGCCUUGAAUUCUAAAUAAAUCACUGAGUGUCACCUGCAAAGCACCCCCACACCAUCACACCUUCUCCUCCACGCUUUAUGGUGGGAACCACACAUGCAGAGAUCAUCCGUUCAUCUACUCUGCGUCUCACAAAGACAUGGUGGUUGGAACCAAAAAUAUCAAAUUUGGACUCAUCAGAUUAAGGGACAGAUUCCCACCGGUCUAAUGUCCAUUGCUCGGGUUUCUUGGCUCAAGCAAGUAUCUUCUUCUUAUUGGUGUCCUUUAGUAGUGGUACAUUUGCAGCAAUUCGACCAUGAAGGCCUGAUUCACACAAUCUCCGCUGAACAGUUGAUGUUGAGAUGUGUCUGUUACUUGAACUCUGUGAAGCAUUUAUUUGGGCUGCAAAUUCUGAGGCUGGUAACUCUAAUGAACUUAUCCUCUGCAGCAGAGAUAACUUUGGGUCUUCCUUUCCUGUGGCGGUCCUCAUGAGAGCCAGUUUCAUCAUGGCGAUUGAUGGUUUUUGCGACUGCACUUGAAGAAACUUUAAAAGUUCUUGAAAUAUUUCAGAUUGACUGACCUUCAUGUCUUAAAUUAAUGAUGGACUGUCAUUUCUCUUUGCUUAUUUGAGCUGUUCUUGCCAUACUAUGGACUUGGUCUUUCCCAAAUAGGGCUAUCUUCUGUAUACCACCCCUACCUUGUCACAACACAACUGAUUGGCUCAAAUGC